RNAcentral lists this ribosomal RNA (366 nucleotides) under uncultured bacterium. RNAcentral describes it as "partial 16S ribosomal RNA". It matches the Rfam family "Bacterial small subunit ribosomal RNA", at positions 338 to 701 of the family's 1533-position model. The record is from RNAcentral.
CCUACGGGUGGCAGCAGUGAGGAAUAUUGGUCAAGGGGCGCGAGCCUGAACCAGCCAAGUAGCGUGAAGGAUGACGGCCCUACGGGUGGUAAACUUCUUUUAUAAAGGAAUAAAGUGAGGCACGUGGGCCUUUUUGUAUGUACUUUAUGAAUAAGGAUCGGCUAACUCCGUGCCAGCAGCCGCGGUAAUACGGAGGAUCCGAGCGUUAUCCGGAUUUAUGGGGUUUAAAGGGAGCGUAGAGGGGUUGUUAAGUCAGUGGGGAAAGUUGGCGGCUCAACCGUAAAAUUCCAAUUGCUACUGGCAGUCUUGCGUACAGUUUCGGUAGUCGGAAUUCGUGGUGUAGCGGUGAAAUGCUUAGAUCUCACG